This 400-nucleotide ribosomal RNA is filed under the name phytoplankton environmental sample. RNAcentral describes it as "partial small subunit ribosomal RNA". It matches the Rfam family "Eukaryotic small subunit ribosomal RNA", at positions 587 to 976 of the family's 1831-position model. The record is from RNAcentral.
AGCUCCAAUAGCGUAUAUUAAAGUUGUUGCAGUUAAAAAGCUCGUAGUCUGACUUUUGGCCUGGCGUUGAGCGUCCGCGGCCUUUGAGGUCGCGCGCAUGCGAUACCACGCUGGCUAAUUGUACUUCGGAGGAACGCGCGGGCUUUUAACUAAGCGCGUGCGGGAUUCCGAUAGUUUACUUUGAGAAAAAUAGAGUGUUCAAAGCAGGCGCUUCGCCGUUGAAUACAUUAGCAUGGGAUAAUGGAAUAGGACAUUCGGUUCUAUUUUGAUGGUUUACGGACCGAUGUAAUGAUUAAUAGGGACAGUUGGGGACAUUCAUAUUCCAUGGCUAGAGGUGAAAUUCUUGGAUUCAUGGAAGAUGAACUACUGCGAAAGCAUUUGUCAAAGAUGUUUUCAUUGA